GUAGGGAAUAUUGGGCAAUGGAGGCAACUCUGACGCAGCCAUGCCGCGUGCAGGAUGACGGCCCUCUGGGUUGUAAACUGCUUUUAUACGGGAAGAAAAAAUACUACGUGUAGUAUACUGACGGUACCGUAAGAAUAAGGAUCGGCUAACUCCGUGCCAGCAGCCGCGGUAAUACGGAGGAUCCAAGCGUUGUCCGGAUUUAUUGGGUUUAAAGGGUGCGUAGGCGGAUCUUUAAGUCAGUGGUGAAAGCCUGCAGCUUAACUGUAGAAUUGCCAUUGAAACUGAAGAUCUUGAAUGUGGUUAAAGUAGGCGGAAUGUAUCAUGUAGCGGUGAAAUGCUUAGAUAUGAUACAGAACACCGAUAGCGAAGGCAGCUUGCUGAACCAUUAUUGACGCUGAGGCACGAAAGCGUGGGGAGCGAACAGGAUUAGAUACCCUGGUAGUCC
Molecule: ribosomal RNA, 445 nt
Filed under: uncultured bacterium
Lineage: Bacteria
Description: partial 16S ribosomal RNA
Rfam family: Bacterial small subunit ribosomal RNA
Source: RNAcentral